RNAcentral lists this ribosomal RNA (253 nucleotides) under uncultured bacterium. RNAcentral's name for it is "partial 16S ribosomal RNA". It matches the Rfam family "Bacterial small subunit ribosomal RNA", at positions 524 to 776 of the family's 1533-position model. The record is from RNAcentral.
UACAGAGGUCCCAAGCGUUGUUCGGAUUCAUUGGGCGUAAAGGGUGCGUAGGCGGCGCGGGAAGUCGGGUGUGAAAUCUCGGAGCUUAACUCCGAAACUGCAUUCGAUACUGCCGUGCUUGAGGACUGGAGAGGAGACUGGAAUUUACGGUGUAGCGGUGAAAUGCGCAGAUAUCAGGAAGAACACCCGUGGCUAAGGCGGCUCUCUAGUACGGUACUGACGCUGAGACGCGAAAGCGUGGGGAGCGAACAGG